RNAcentral lists this ribosomal RNA (660 nucleotides) under Nocardiopsis sp. RNAcentral's name for it is "bacterial SSU rRNA". It matches the Rfam family "Bacterial small subunit ribosomal RNA", at positions 15 to 678 of the family's 1533-position model. Lineage: Bacteria; Bacillati; Actinomycetota; Actinomycetes; Streptosporangiales; Nocardiopsidaceae. The record is from RNAcentral.
GAUCCUGGCUCAGGACGAACGCUGGCGGCGUGCUUAACACAUGCAAGUCGAGCGGUAAGGCCCUUCGGGGUACACGAGCGGCGAACGGGUGAGUAACACGUGAGCAACCUGCCCCUGACUCCGGGAUAAGCGGUGGAAACGCCGUCUAAUACCGGAUACGACCUGUCACCUCAUGGUGGCGGGUGGAAAGUUUUUUCGGUCGGGGAUGGGCUCGCGGCCUAUCAGCUAGUUGGUGGGGUAAAGGCCUACCAAGGCGAUUACGGGUAGCCGGCCUGAGAGGGCGACCGGCCACACUGGGACUGAGACACGGCCCAGACUCCUGCGGGAGGCAGCAGUGGGGAAUAUUGCGCAAUGGGCGAAAGCCUGACGCAGCGACGCCGCGUGGGGGAUGACGGCCUUCGGGUUGUAAACCUCUUUUACCACCAACGCAGGCUCCCAGUUCUCUGGGGGUUGACGGUAGGUGGGGAAUAAGGACCGGCUAACUACGUGCCAGCAGCCGCGGUAAUACGUAGGGUCCGAGCGUUGUCCGGAAUUAUUGGGCGUAAAGAGCUCGUAGGCGGCGUGUCGCGUCUGCUGUGAAAGACCGGGGCUUAACUCCGGUUCUGCAGUGGAUACGGGCAUGCUAGAGGUAGGUAGGGGAGACUGGAAUUCCUGGUGUAG